UAGCUCUGUAAACCACAUGUACAGCACAUAUAUACCACAUGUAGAGCACGGUCCAGCGACUUUGGAUGAAAUUCUAGUAAUGAAGAAGCCUAGGCCUGAAAAGACAAACACGCAUGGAGCUGGCCCGGGAUCGAGGCUGUUGAACGAGAUUCGAAAAGACAAACUGAAAACGAUAAAAUCCUCAGUAGUGCAUGAAUACUCAGCCAGAGCUCCCACACGAUGAUGGCGGUUCAACUGAAAGAAGCCACAGCUGCUGUUACCGAUUCAUCACAUGGGCAAGAGGAUCAAACCAAGUGAAAAAGCAGAUAAAUGACAAGGAUUGCUACUGAACGUGAAAAGAAAGUAGAAACAGUGUCACUUGUAAAGAACAUUCCUCAAGUGCAUUUUUGCUGGUCUAGAGUUGGCGUGCCAAAUGGUUAUUACACGUAAUUGAAGCUGUGGCGAUUAGAUAAGA
Corticium candelabrum is the source of this 454-nucleotide long non-coding RNA. RefSeq lists it as uncharacterized. The transcript has 3 exons. The record is from RefSeq and is a predicted model, not a curated record. Lineage: Eukaryota; Metazoa; Porifera; Homoscleromorpha; Homosclerophorida; Plakinidae.